CCUACGGGAGGCAGCAGUGGGGAAUAUUGCACAAUGGGGGAAACCCUGAUGCAGCAACGCCGCGUGGGUGAAGGAGCGUUUCGGCGCGUAAAGCCCUGUCAGCGGGGAAGAAGAAAGACGGUACCCGACCAAGAAGCCCCGGCGAACUACGUGCCAGCAGCCGCGGUAAGACGUAGGGGGCGAGCGUUAUCCGGAAUUACUGGGUGGAAAGGGAGCGUAGACGGCGCGGUAAGCCGGAAGGGGAAGCCCGCGGCCCAACCGCGGAACUGCUUUGGGUACUGUUUUGCUGGAGGAUGGGAGGGGUAAGCGGAAUUCCUGGUGUAGCGGUGCACUGCGUAGAUAUCAGGAGGAACCCCGGUGGCGCAGGCGGCUUACUGGACCAUACCUGACGUUGCGGCUCGCAAGCGUUGGGAGCGAACAGGAUUAGAUACCCCAGUAGUC
This 441-nucleotide ribosomal RNA is filed under the name uncultured bacterium. RNAcentral's name for it is "partial 16S ribosomal RNA". It matches the Rfam family "Bacterial small subunit ribosomal RNA", at positions 338 to 795 of the family's 1533-position model. The record is from RNAcentral.